This 305-nucleotide ribosomal RNA is filed under the name uncultured bacterium. RNAcentral's name for it is "bacterial SSU rRNA". It matches the Rfam family "Bacterial small subunit ribosomal RNA", at positions 333 to 635 of the family's 1533-position model. The record is from RNAcentral.
GUUCUCCUACGGGACGCAGCAGUGAGGAAUAUUGGUCAAUGGGCGAGAGCCUGAACCAGCCAAGUCGCGUGAAGGAUGACGGCCCUACGGGUUGUAAACUUCUUUUGUCAGGGAGCAAUUGGGUCCACGCGUGGGCUUAGCGAGAGUACCUGAAGAAAAAGCAUCGGCUAACUCCGUGCCAGCAGCCGCGGUAAUACGGAGGAUGCGAGCGUUAUCCGGAUUUAUUGGGUUUAAAGGGUGCGUAGGCGGACUGGAAAGUCAGCGGUAAAAUCGAGAGGCUCAACCUCUUUCCGCCGUUGAAACUG